GAUGAAGAACGCAGCGAAAUGCGAUAAGUAAUGUGAAUUGCAGAAUUCAGUGAAUCAUCGAAUCUUUGAACGCACAUUGCGCCCGCCAGUAUUCUGGCGGGCAUGCCUGUUCGAGCGUCAUUACAACCCUCAGGCCCCCGGGCCUGGCGUUGGGGAUCGGCGGAAGCCCCCUGCGGGCACAACGCCGUCCCCCAAAUACAGUGGCGGUCCCGCCGCAGCUUCCAUUGCGUAGUAGCUAACACCUCGCAACUGGAGAGCGGCGCGGCCACGCCGUAAAACCCCCAACUUCUGAAUGUUGACCUCGAAUCAGGUAGGAAUACCCGCUGAACUUAAGCAUAUCAAUAAGCGGAGGA
RNAcentral lists this unclassified non-coding RNA (353 nucleotides) under soil metagenome. RNAcentral describes it as "partial contains 5.8S ribosomal RNA, internal transcribed spacer 2, and large subunit ribosomal RNA". The stretch from base 1 to 120 matches the Rfam family "5.8S ribosomal RNA", at positions 35 to 154 of the family's 154-position model. The record is from RNAcentral.